CCUACGGGAGGCAGCAGUGGGGAAUAUUGCACAAUGGGGGAAACCCUGAUCCAGCCACGCCGCGUGAGCGAAGAAGGUUCUCGGUAUGUAAAACUCCAUCAGCAGGGAAGAAAAUGCCGGUACCUGACUCAGAAGCCCCGGCUGACUACGUGCCAGCAGCCGCGGGAAUACGGAGGGGGCAAGCGUUAUCCGGAUUUACCGGGUGUUAAGGGAGCGUAGGCGGUUGUGCAAGCUCGAUGGGAAAGCCCUGGGCUGAACCCCGGGACUGCAGUUGUAACUGUGUGGCUGGAGUGUCGGAGAGGCAGGCGGAAUGCCCGGUGUAGCGGUGAAAUGCGUAGAUAUUGGGAAGAACACCAGUGGCGAAGGCGGCCUGCUGGCCGAUGACUGACGUUGAGGCUCGAAAGCGUGGGGAGCGAACAGGAUUAGAUACCCUUGUAGUC
Molecule: ribosomal RNA, 440 nt
Filed under: uncultured bacterium
Lineage: Bacteria
Description: partial 16S ribosomal RNA
Rfam family: Bacterial small subunit ribosomal RNA
Source: RNAcentral